Phrynosoma platyrhinos (Desert horned lizard) is the source of this 72-nucleotide non-coding RNA. NCBI's taxonomy places the organism in Eukaryota, Metazoa, Chordata, Lepidosauria, Squamata, Phrynosomatidae. The record is from the annotation of a GenBank genome assembly.
GCCAGUGUGGUGUAGUGGUUUGAAUAUUGGGUUACAACUCUGGAGACCAGGGGUCAAAUCCCUGCUCAGCCA